CCUUAUGCGAUGAUUACACUGAUGAGUGUCCACACAGAUUGAUGGUUUAUACAGUUUUAGAGACGAUGCUGGGUCUGUAGCUCAGGUGGUUAGAGCGUUCGCCUGAUAAGCGAGAGGUCGGUGGUUCAAGUCCACUCAGACCCACCAAUUCUUCUUAAUCGAAGGUUGGCACACAGUAUCACACACCUGAUGGGGCUAUAGCUCAGCUGGGAGAGCGCCUGCCUUGCACGCAGGAGGUCUGCGGUUCGAUCCCGCAUAGCUCCACCAUCUUUAAGCACAUUGCUUAAGUGUUCUUAAAAAUGGUUUUCAUCAGAAAAUCUUGCUCUUUAACAAUUUGGAAAGCUGACUGAUAACAACGUGAUUUGUUGUUAUCAAAUAAAAGUUCUCAAUAUCAAUACGGUUACGUGUUGAUACCAAACACAUUCAAGUGUUCUUGGGAAAGCUUACUGCGGUAAGUUUUCAAAAUUGAGUCCGGCAAAAUCGACAUGUCUCUCGCUCAUUCAAUAAAGAGAGACACUAAACCUUGGUGACUUGUCAUCAACACGAAACUUCUUCGGGUUGUAU
RNAcentral lists this transfer RNA (564 nucleotides) under Vibrio aestuarianus. RNAcentral's name for it is "partial 16S-23S ribosomal RNA intergenic spacer". The stretch from base 71 to 144 matches the Rfam family "tRNA". The record is from RNAcentral. Lineage: Bacteria; Pseudomonadati; Pseudomonadota; Gammaproteobacteria; Vibrionales; Vibrionaceae.